CCUACGGGAGGCAGCAGUGGGGAAUAUUGCACAAUGGGGGAAACCCUGAUGCAGCGACGCCGCGUGAGUGAAGAAGUACCUCGGUAUGUAAAGCUCUAUCAGCAGGGAAGAAGCAAGACGGUACCUGACUAAGAAGCCCCGGCUAACUACGUGCCAGCAGCCGCGGUACUACGGAGGGGGCAAGCGUUAUCCGGAUUUACUGGGGUUAAAGGGAGCGUAGACGGUAUGGCAAGUAUGAAGUGAAAGCCCAGGGCUUAACCCUGGGACUGCUUUGGAAACUGUUAGACUAGAGUGCUGGAGAGGUAAGUGGAAUUCCUGGUGUAGCGGUGAAAUGCGUAGAUAUUAGGAGGAACACCAGUGGCGAAGGCGGCUUACUGGGCAGUAACUGACGUUGAGGCUCGAAAGCGUGGGGAGCAAACAGGAUUAGAUACCCGUGUAGUC
This 441-nucleotide ribosomal RNA is filed under the name uncultured bacterium. Its description in RNAcentral is "partial 16S ribosomal RNA". It matches the Rfam family "Bacterial small subunit ribosomal RNA", at positions 338 to 795 of the family's 1533-position model. The record is from RNAcentral.